Molecule: ribosomal RNA, 460 nt
Filed under: uncultured bacterium
Lineage: Bacteria
Description: partial 16S ribosomal RNA
Rfam family: Bacterial small subunit ribosomal RNA
Source: RNAcentral
CCUACGGGAGGCAGUAGUGAGGAAUAUUGGUCAAUGGGCGCAAGCCUGAACCAGCCAAGCCGCGUGAAGGAUGACUGCCCUACGGGUUGUAAACUUCUUUUGUAAGGGAAUAAAUUGAGGCACGUGUACCUUUUUGUAUGUACUUUAUGAAUAAGGAUCGGCUAACUCCGUGCCAGCAGCCGCGGUAAUACGGAGGAUCCGAGCGUUAUCCGGAUUUAUUGGGUUUAAAGGGAGCGUAGAUGGGUUGUUAAGUCAGUUGUGAAAGUUUGCGGCUCAACCGUAAAAUUGCAAUUGAUACUGGCAGUCUUGAGUACAGUUGAGGUAGGCGGAAUUCGUGGUGUAGCGGUGAAAUGCUUAGAUAUCACGAAGAACUCCGAUUGCGAAGGCAGCUUACUAAACUGCCACUGACAUUGAUGCUCGAAAGUGUGGGGAGCAAACAGGAUUAGAUACCCUAGUAGUC